This 460-nucleotide ribosomal RNA is filed under the name uncultured bacterium. RNAcentral's name for it is "partial 16S ribosomal RNA". It matches the Rfam family "Bacterial small subunit ribosomal RNA", at positions 338 to 795 of the family's 1533-position model. The record is from RNAcentral.
CCUACGGGAGGCAGCAGUGAGGAAUAUUGGUCAAUGGACGCAAGUCUGAACCAGCCAUACCGCGUGCAGGAAGACGGCUCUAUGAGUUGUACACUGCUUUUGUACUAGGGUAAACGCAGAUACGCGUAUCUGUCUGACAGUAUCGUACGAAUAAGGAUCGGCUAACUCCGUGCCAGCAGCCGCGGUCAUACGGAGGAUUCAAGCGUUAUCCGGAUUUAUUGGGUUUAAAGGGUGCGUAGGCGGUCGGAUAAGUUAGAGGUGAAAUCCCGAGGCUCAACUUCGGAAUUGCCUCUGAUACUGUUCGGCUAGAGAGUAGUUGCGGUAGGCGGAAUGUAUGGUGUAGCGGUGAAAUGCUUAGAGAUCAUACAGAACACCGAUUGCGAAGGCAGCUUACCAAGCUACUUCUGACGUUGAGGCACGAAAGCGUGGGGAGCAAACAGGAUUAGAUACCCCUGUAGUC